Molecule: microRNA precursor, 207 nt
Filed under: Oryza rufipogon (brownbeard rice)
Lineage: Eukaryota; Viridiplantae; Streptophyta; Magnoliopsida; Poales; Poaceae
Description: MIR812 microRNA precursor family
Rfam family: MIR812 microRNA precursor family
Source: Rfam by way of RNAcentral
AAAAACUCAAUUUCUGAGUUUCCGUGUCUAACGUUUGACCGUUCGUCUUAUUUAAAAAAAAUAUAAACAAAUUUAAAAAGAUAAGUCAUGCAUAAAGUAUUAUACAUGUUUUAUCAACUAACAAUAAUAAAAAUACUAAUCAUAAAAAAAUUUCAUAUAAGACGGAUAGUAAAACGUUGGACACGGAAACCGAAGAGUUCUGUCUUU